CCAGGGACUCCCGGAGAAACUGGGAGAGAGUGCUUCCAUCUUCAUUUCACUUUAAACUUGGCCGCUUUCUGGGACUUCACUGAGGGGCGGCGGAGUCGCACCAGCCUGGACCACAAGCUGAUUCCAGCGAGCACUUCCAAAUACUUUAGGACGCGGGGGUGACUCCUUUUUUCUUCAGGAUUGUCCCACUUGCCACCCUUCCCUGCUGAGCGGAUAGGAACCGCUUAAGACCGGGAGAUAAAGGUUUGCAGUUCCCCCUGGGGACCAAACUAUAGAGAGAGAGAGUGAAUGAGAAAUCCAAAGACUUUGCACUGCUGGACUAAAUAACUUUUCUUUUUCAUUUCCUUCCUUUCUUUUCUUUUCUUUUCUUUCUCCCUUCCUUUUCUUUCUUUCCUUUUUCUUUCAGGGCGGACCGAGGUGAGCAGGGGGCACACUUAACCAGCUGUAAGAAGACCAGGGCUGGGAGCAGAGCAGUUAAAAUAUCUCCUUGGGUGGUUCUAAGAGGGUGUGUGUGUGUGGUUAUAAGAGGGUGUUGGGGGGUAUGAGAGGGGUGUGUGUGUGUGUGUGUUGCAAAAGAAAGAUGAAAUCCAUGUCUCUUUAAUGUGGGGAGUAGUGAUGUGUAACUUUACAGUGUUCUUUUAUUUUGCAAGCCCUACCAAGCUCACAAAAACAUCCUCUCUUCCUUUAGUUUAGCCUUCCUGUUGUACAUUAUACAUUAUAUUUGAAAGUGCUUUCCUCAUUUAAUCUUAUCUCAAGAAAGCACUCUCUGGCAAAGCCAUGUACCCUCCCCUCCUAUCCAGUCUGAUUAGAAUUUGCCAAUAGAAAGGAAGAAGCAAGCUUUGCUUUAGUUUGACAGUAGAAGGUGGCAAGACUUUCCAGGAGAAGCUAUGAUAUUGUUUACCAAAUGAUCUCAAAGUUAACAGAGGGUAGUUUUUAUUCUUACCUCCACCAAAGAAAGGCCUCUGAAAAUAAAUAAAUAAAAAGAGAUUACAGUUUCUACUUUGCCCAUGUAAUUAUUGGCAUUAACCAACUCAAAAAUUUGUAUACUUUUAAGUAUCUAAACAAUCUUAAUUUAUUCCCAAAUCCCAUGUCUACACCAUGUCACUUUUAAAAUUACGUUAAAUUUCUUUCUCUCCCAAAUUGUUCUUGUAUGGACCUGUAGUCAUAAAUGUUGGACUAUAUUUUCCCAGAAUAAUUCAGAAUUUGAAAAAAGUUGAGUUUUGCUAAUUUCAGACAGUAAAUGGAAAUAUGAAUGUUUUGCAGUUGUAAUGAUGAAUACUGAAAGAAAAGUUUCUGAUUAUAUUAUUAUUUAGCAUUUUUUUCUAAGGCAGUGAGAAAGGUACGAUUUACUCUAUUUUAAAAUUGUUUUUAACAAUUUGCUUACCUCAUGAAUUUUCUUAUUUCUGUGGUUUGAAGUAUAUGAUGAAUUGUCACUUUAGUUCAUUUUUUUGUUUGAUCUAUGCUUUAAAAAGCUUAUUUAAUUUGGAAUUGUCUCCACAUUUUCUGGGUGAUGAAUUGGUGUUGUGAAGAGUCUUAGAUUAUUUUUCCCAAUAUAAAGUUCUCUGUAAUUCAAGGCCAGAAAAUGAUGUGAAAAAACAACCAGGAAAUACAAGUUUCUGAAAUGAAGAAAUAACAUUUUUUAAAAACUUAGUUAACAUAUAAUAAAGGAAAUCCAACCUCAAGCUUUUUAACUAUCAUAGCUGUGCCCUACAUACCUCUGAAAUCUAAAAAGAGAUCUGCUUAUCUUAGAAACACAUUUUUGAUGUUAUACCUGACUAUAAAAGCCCUAAGGUACAAAUUGUGCUGGCAGUUGCAUCUUACCUUCAACUGGGCUUUCAACAGAGUUGCAGAUUCAGCAUAUUUCUGUCAUAAAUAAACAGAUUUCUCAUUUAUCUAUUUUGGAUCCCCCCUAAAAUCAAAUGCGUUUACUAACUUAUUUCUGAGCUACAAAAGAUAUUUCCCCUUUUAUUUUUAAAUAAAAAUAGAGGUCUGAUUUUUUUCACCUGGUCUUGUGUAAAGCAUACAUUUACUAUCCCUUCUUCCUGAAUCUUUGUUAUAUUUUGUAACCUCUAUGGAUCAUGAUAACAGCAUACUAGGUGAUUAAGGUCUACCUCAAGAAAGUUGGAACUAGCACUGAGAAUAAACUACUGGGUUGUUUUACUAAGGAAAGUGUUUUUUUUAAAACCUUACUUUAUGGUACAUAAACACAGGGAUCUUUAAAGAUGGUGUCAUAGGCAAAACAAUUUUGAUAGAGCUCAAAGAGUUUAUUUCAGAGAUAAACACUGCUGGACAGGCAAGGCAAUUUUUAGGCAAUAUUGCAAGUAAGAAGGAAAUUUUAUUUUUAGUAUUUAUCUAUCUGUUUUUUGUCUUUCUUUUUUGCUUACAUUCUGGUAGUAACUCCCUGUAAUUGUCUGGCGCUUCCACCUAAUUACCCCAAGGCCCCAAACUGUAGCAUCCCACCUCGGAAUAUCUAGUCCAGAGAGGAAUGGUAUGUUACUGUGAUCUAUUUUCUUGUCCUUGUCAAAAUCUCCAUUUAGUCAUAUUGGAUAUAUUUAUUAAAUUCUUAAGAAGAAAACAAGCAUAUAAUACUAAUUCAGGCUAAAGUGUCAUUGACUAGCAGUAUACACCUCAGAAAUAUGAAGCCAACUUCUGAAAAGUAGAAUUUCUGGCAAAGACAACUCAGUCGUUUUUAAAUUUGUAUACAAGAUUGAAUGUUGUUACUAUUUUUUAUAUUUUAUUUUUUUCUGUUUUUGAAAAUGCUAUUAAAUAAUUACUCAAACUUUUUGUUUUUUAACUUGGGAAGAAACAUUUAGAAAAUUUUAUAUUCAUGUAUCCAGUUAGUAUUUCAGGAACACUUCCACUUGAUCCUGGAACUCACAACUCUAUUUUAAAAUGAAGCCAGUCAUCAAUAAUUACCUUAAAAACAAAAGUUUGUGUUACUGUUCUUAUGACUUGAUUUGUGAGUACUGAUAAGCCCACCAAGUCAUAUUUGAUGGAAGUAAUAAGCUGUCGAAAGUCUAUGGACUUAACUUCCUCAAAAUGCAUAUAUUACUCUCAGUUCUAUAAAACCUGAUGGUAAACUACAGAGAAAAGCAUUUGCUUUAAGCUUUGGUUUUACAGAUUAUGUUUUCUACUGUUUCUUUUUCUGCAGAAUUUGCCCCUGAAUUUCAGUCAGGUGCCCACAAGUUGGCAGUAAAAUGACACACUCAUGUGAUUCACAUGGUUGAGACCAAACCACAAAGUUUUGGCUAUAGUGGUCUGUAAGAAGUAAUAAUUAAUUUUGUUUAUUUUACAAAAGAUGCAUUUUCAUUAAAAUAAAUAAUAUUGGGUAAGUUUUAUCUACUUGAAAGCAUAUAACUUCUUUCAGAACAAUUAUUUCUUAACAUAAAUCCCUAAGGCAUGAUUAGGUUAUUUCUUCCUAAUCACUUCACCAGUUCUCUUUAAUUACAAUCUCUUUUAAACACUGAGUUACUUCUCAUUCUUCCUUCUGUUCAUGUUUUACGACCUAGCCAUUCUGAUCCUUUGAGUGAAUCUUGAGUUCUUGGCUAACUUGAUGAUAGGGCUCCUUUGGAUUUUUUUUUUUUUUCUUAGUUAUAGUGGCACUAAUUUCUGUAACAAAAGCAAAGCUUUUCUGUGAUUGUUUGCCACCAAACUUUUUUUUUUUUUUUUUGUCUUUUGUAUUUAUAAGGCCACACCCACAGCAUAUGGAGGUUCCCAGGCUAGGAGUCUAAUCCGAGCAGUUGCUCCCAGCCUACACCAGAGCCACAGCAACACCAGGUCGGAGCCGACCUACACCACAGCUCGCAGCAACACCGGAUCCUUAACAUACUGAGCGAGGCCAGGGAUCCAAUUGCAACCUCAUGGUUCUUCUCGGAUUCGUUUCCGCUGAGCCAUGAUGGGAACUCCUGCCACCAAACUUCUUUUACCAGGCAGUGGCCUUUCUUUCUCUGUGUGCAGUCUGGUUCAUUCCCUGGAAAUUCAUUGUAUGCCUUGUUUUAGCCAUUGUCCUGUACUAGGCACUGGGAAGAGAAGAGUAAUGAUGAUUCUCUUGGUCUCUGUUCCCACAAUAGAGCUAACCAUCUAGUAGAGGUUAUAGACCAACCAGCGGAUCAUUACAAAAUAAUCUUGCUUUAAUUUCACCAAGAACAAUUUGAGAUUAAGUCCUAAGUCUUACUUUAUUAGCCUCUGGAACCCAUCCCUAUGUGCCGCAAUAAUAAUUUCUUUAUUGCUCUUAGUUUCUAGUUCUUUUUUCUCAUAUUGAUUCAAACUGUCAUGAGAGGUAGGCUGUGAAAUAGCCAGACACAGUCCUUUAUCAGAGGACAGCAUAUUUCAUAAAAUGUUGGAAUGUAACACACUUGGAUUUGAAUCUUGAUCUGAAAUUUACUGCAUUACUUAUAGAAAUCAUUUAACUCUAGUCUGAAUCUUGAACUCUUGUGUGUAAAAUGGAAAUUAUAAUGCUUAGAUUUGGGGUAGGUUGAGAGAUUUUAAUGACUUCACCUGUGUAAACUCCCCAGUAUAAACAAGUACUCUGUACAUAUCAUUUCUGUUCUCUGCCUCUAGUCUAUUUCAAAUUAUGUUAUGAAUAUCUAAUUUCACUGAAAGGAUAUUAAUAAUCUAGUUUCUAGGAAUAAUCUUUUUGUUAAGGCCAGCCCAUAUUCAAGGGAAGGAAUACUAGAUUCCACCUUUCAGUGAGAAGACCAGCAAGGAAUUUGUAGUCAUCUUUCACCUUCCGCAGUUAUAUAGUUUUUCUUCAUUGAUUUAUAGAAGUUCUUUAUAUAUUCUGUUUUAAUCUCAUGCAGAUAACAUGUUUUCGAAUGAUCUCUCCCACCAUGGCUCUUUUCACUCACAUCUGAGGAACUGAGAUGCUCAGUGCAUCUCAGAAGACAUCCCCCACCUUAUCUAGUCC
RNAcentral lists this long non-coding RNA (4906 nucleotides) under Sus scrofa (pig). RNAcentral describes it as "lncRNA (ENSSSCG00000058062.1)". Lineage: Eukaryota; Metazoa; Chordata; Mammalia; Artiodactyla; Suidae. The record is from RNAcentral.